This 783-nucleotide ribosomal RNA is filed under the name uncultured bacterium. RNAcentral describes it as "bacterial SSU rRNA". It matches the Rfam family "Bacterial small subunit ribosomal RNA", at positions 51 to 847 of the family's 1533-position model. The record is from RNAcentral.
ACACAUGCAAGUCGAACGAGCGAGAGAAAGCUUGCUUUCUUGAGCGAGUGGCGAACGGGUGAGUAACGCGUGAGGAACCUGCCUCAAAGAGGGGGACAACAGUUGGAAACGACUGCUAAUACCGCAUAAGCCCACGGGUCGGCAUCGACCAGAGGGAAAAGGAGCAAUCCGCUUUGAGAUGGCCUCGCGUCCGAUUAGCUAGUUGGUGAGGUAACGGCCCACCAAGGCAACGAUCGGUAGCCGGACUGAGAGGUUGAACGGCCACAUUGGGACUGAGACACGGCCCAGACUCCUACGGGAGGCAGCAGUGGGGAAUAUUGCACAAUGGGGGAAACCCUGAUGCAGCGACGCCGCGUGGAGGAAGAAGGUCUUCGGAUUGUAAACUCCUGUUGUUGAGGAAGAUAAUGACGGUACUCAACAAGGAAGUGACGGCUAACUACGUGCCAGCAGCCGCGGUAAAACGUAGGUCACAAGCGUUGUCCGGAAUUACUGGGUGUAAAGGGAGCGCAGGCGGGAAGACAAGUUGGAAGUGAAAUCCAUGGGCUCAACCCAUGAACUGCUUUCAAAACUGUUUUUCUUGAGUAGUGCAGAGGUAGGCGGAAUUCCCGGUGUAGCGGUGGAAUGCGUAGAUAUCGGGAGGAACACCAGUGGCGAAAGCGGCCUACUGGGCACCAACUGACGCUGAGGCUCGAAAGUGUGGGUAGCAAACAGGAUUAGAUACCCUGGUAGUCCACACCGUAAACGAUGAUUACUAGGUGUUGGAGGAUUGACCCCUUCAGUGCC